Molecule: ribosomal RNA, 800 nt
Filed under: Pseudoalteromonas distincta
Lineage: Bacteria; Pseudomonadati; Pseudomonadota; Gammaproteobacteria; Alteromonadales; Pseudoalteromonadaceae
Description: bacterial SSU rRNA
Rfam family: Bacterial small subunit ribosomal RNA
Source: RNAcentral
GUAAUGGCUCACCAAGGCGACGAUCCCUAGCUGGUUUGAGAGGAUGAUCAGCCACACUGGGACUGAGACACGGCCCAGACUCCUACGGGAGGCAGCAGUGGGGAAUAUUGCACAAUGGGCGCAAGCCUGAUGCAGCCAUGCCGCGUGUGUGAAGAAGGCCUUCGGGUUGUAAAGCACUUUCAGUCAGGAGGAAAGGUUAGUAGUUAAUACCUGCUAGCUGUGACGUUACUGACAGAAGAAGCACCGGCUAACUCCGUGCCAGCAGCCGCGGUAAUACGGAGGGUGCGAGCGUUAAUCGGAAUUACUGGGCGUAAAGCGUACGCAGGCGGUUUGUUAAGCGAGAUGUGAAAGCCCCGGGCUCAACCUGGGAACUGCAUUUCGAACUGGCAAACUAGAGUGUGAUAGAGGGUGGUAGAAUUUCAGGUGUAGCGGUGAAAUGCGUAGAGAUCUGAAGGAAUACCGAUGGCGAAGGCAGCCACCUGGGUCAACACUGACGCUCAUGUACGAAAGCGUGGGGAGCAAACGGGAUUAGAUACCCCGGUAGUCCACGCCGUAAACGAUGUCUACUAGAAGCUCGGAGCCUCGGUUCUGUUUUUCAAAGCUAACGCAUUAAGUAGACCGCCUGGGGAGUACGGCCGCAAGGUUAAAACUCAAAUGAAUUGACGGGGGCCCGCACAAGCGGUGGAGCAUGUGGUUUAAUUCGAUGCAACGCGAAGAACCUUACCUACACUUGACAUACAGAGAACUUACCAGAGAUGGUUUGGUGCCUUCGGGAACUCUGAUACAGGUGCUGCAUGGCU